This 207-nucleotide ribosomal RNA is filed under the name uncultured bacterium. RNAcentral describes it as "partial 16S ribosomal RNA". It matches the Rfam family "Bacterial small subunit ribosomal RNA", at positions 568 to 774 of the family's 1533-position model. The record is from RNAcentral.
CACGUAGGCGGUUGUGUAAGUCGGAUGUGAAAGCCCUGAGCUUAACUUGGGAAUUGCAUUCGAAACUGCGCGACUAGAGUAUGGGAGAGGGAAGUGGAAUUUCCGGUGUAGCGGUGAAAUGCGUAGAUAUCGGAAGGAACACCAGUGGCGAAGGCGACUUCCUGGACCAAUACUGACGCUGAGGUGCGAAAGCGUGGGGAGCAAACA